UACCAGCACCCCGAGUGGUCGGGACGUUUAUUGGGCCUAAAGCAUCCGUAGCCGGUUCUGCAAGUCUUCCGUUAAAUCCACCUGCUUAACAGGUGGGCCGCGGAAGAUACUAUAGAGCUAGGAGGCGGGAGAGGCAAGCGGUACUCGAUGGGUAGGGGUAAAAUCCGUUGAUCCAUUGAAGACCACCAGUGGCGAAGGCGGCUUGCCAGAACGCGCUCGACGGUGAGGGAUGAAAGCUGGGGGAGCAAACCGG
RNAcentral lists this ribosomal RNA (253 nucleotides) under uncultured bacterium. RNAcentral's name for it is "partial 16S ribosomal RNA". It matches the Rfam family "Archaeal small subunit ribosomal RNA", at positions 474 to 727 of the family's 1478-position model. The record is from RNAcentral.